CCGUCCACCUUGUCAGCUUCCAAACGUUCUUCGUUUCAAGUAUAUAUCUAUCUCGUGCUGAUUUUUGGACAAGACGAGAAAUUGCUAGAUACUGGGUGAAAUAUUAGAGUUUCAAAAUUAGGAAACUUAUGAUUUUAAUCAACGUAAGCCUAAAGCGAGUUUCUUAAAUCUUAUCUGAUUCUCUUCAUCAAUGAAUAUAUAACAUUAUCAGUGUAUUAAAUUAAAAAGUCUACUAUCCACGAAACGGAGAAGAAGAAACAGAAGAAGAAGAUGAAGUAGAAAAACAUAGUACAGUCACGGACGCCGAUGGCAGGAUUUCCAUCGAGUUCUCGCGUUCGUAAAUAAACCGGUGAAGCGUGGUGGGUCGCUAUGUUUAGGUUAGGUGGUUUCUCAGAUUUCUGGGAUCACCAUGGGAGAAUGUGACAGGUCUUCCAGCUACCGGUCGGUUGCUUUACGAUCACAAGUACGCUUCCAAUUCACUGACGACUGCGUUUUAAAAAGAGAAAAGUGAAGAGAUAGUAGCUACUCUUUUCCCUUCUAAGAAAGAAUCUUUCUUGGUCUUGUAAUACAUAACUACCUUCGCGGCUUCGAAGUCCCUUUGCACAAUUGAAUUAAUAUUAUUAACCUAAUUCAGUAGUAAUAAGAUUGGUAACCAAAAUAAUUAACAUUGAACAAGUGGAUUUUAUAAACUAUAAGCUAACUGACUGUCCUAUUUGACGCGUAAUAGCAAAAUCGGUUUGUGCAAUAGAAAUUUAUAAUUUAGAACCCGGUACAUAUCAAUGCAAUUGGUGACUUAUGGUAUAAAAGCAUCGAAGAAGUUUAUUCUCCCGACAGGAACAUUGAAUCAGUAUUUACAAUAUUAUUUGGUGAUAAUUCGAUGAGGAAUAAAUUAUUGCGACUUCCUGCUACUUGUGAUAGUGAAGUUAAGAGUG
Long non-coding RNA from Bombus impatiens (common eastern bumble bee), 932 nucleotides. RefSeq lists it as uncharacterized. The transcript is spliced from 3 exons. Lineage: Eukaryota; Metazoa; Arthropoda; Insecta; Hymenoptera; Apidae. The record is from RefSeq and is a predicted model, not a curated record.